Molecule: ribosomal RNA, 270 nt
Filed under: uncultured bacterium
Lineage: Bacteria
Description: partial 16S ribosomal RNA
Rfam family: Bacterial small subunit ribosomal RNA
Source: RNAcentral
CCGGCGACCGGCGCACGGGUGAGUAACACGUAUGCAACCUGGCCGUGACAGAUGGAUAACCGGGAGAAAUCCCGCCUAAUACAACAUAAUGCCGGGAGGGGACAUCCCCUGCCGGUCAAAGGGGGCGACCCCGGUCAUGGAUGGGCAUGCGGCGCAUUAGGUAGUUGGUGGGGCAACGGCCCACCAAGCCGACGAUGCGUAGGGGUUCUGAGAGGAAGGUCCCCCACAUUGGAACUGAGACGCGGUCCAAACUCCUACGGGAGGCAGCAG